RNAcentral lists this ribosomal RNA (504 nucleotides) under uncultured bacterium. RNAcentral describes it as "partial 16S ribosomal RNA". It matches the Rfam family "Bacterial small subunit ribosomal RNA", at positions 30 to 523 of the family's 1533-position model. The record is from RNAcentral.
AUUGAACGCUGGCGGCAGGCCUAACACAUGCAAGUCGAGCGGAAACGAAGGGAGCUUGCUCCCAGGCGUCGAGCGGCGGACGGGUGAGUAACACGUGAGAAUCUGCCCAUUAGUGGGGGACAACUCGGGGAAACUCGAGCUAAUACCGCAUAAUCCCUACGGGGGAAAGCAGGGGCCCUUUUGGCCUUGCGCUGAGGGAUGAGCUCACGUCGGAUUAGCUUGUUGGGGAGGUAAAGGCUCACCAAGGCGACGUUCCGUAGCUGGUCUGAGAGGAUGAUCAGCCACACUGGGACUGAGACACGGCCCAGACUCCUACGGGAGGCAGCAGUGGGGAAUCUUGGACAAUGGGGGCAACCCUGAUCCAGCCAUGCCGCGUGUGUGAAGAAGGCCUUCGGGUUGUAAAGCACUUUCAGCAGGGAGGAAGGCUUUGGCCGAAUAGGUUGAAGUACUUGACGUUACCUGCAGAAGAAGCACCGGCUAAUUUCGUGCCAGCCGCCGCCGUAG